Molecule: non-coding RNA, 30 nt
Filed under: Mus musculus (house mouse)
Lineage: Eukaryota; Metazoa; Chordata; Mammalia; Rodentia; Muridae
Source: RNAcentral
UUCUUGUUAGAAUACUUGUAUUUAUGCUGA